RNAcentral lists this transfer RNA (88 nucleotides) under Oscillospiraceae bacterium. RNAcentral's name for it is "tRNA-Leu". It matches the Rfam family "tRNA". From Rfam's summary of the family: Transfer RNA (tRNA) molecules are approximately 80 nucleotides in length. Their secondary structure includes four short double-helical elements and three loops (D, anti-codon, and T loops). Further hydrogen bonds mediate the characteristic L-shaped molecular structure. tRNAs have two regions of fundamental functional importance: the anti-codon, which is responsible for specific mRNA codon recognition, and the 3' end, to which the tRNAs corresponding amino acid is attached (by aminoacyl-tRNA synthetases). tRNAs cope with the degeneracy of the genetic code in two manners: having more than one tRNA (with a specific anti-codon) for a particular amino acid; and 'wobble' base-pairing, i.e. permitting non-standard base-pairing at the 3rd anti-codon position. The record is from RNAcentral. Lineage: Bacteria; Bacillati; Bacillota; Clostridia; Eubacteriales; Oscillospiraceae.
GGGCGAAUGGCGGAACGUGGCAGAUGCUGCGGACUUAAAAUUCGCUUCCGGCAACGGAGUAUGGGUUUGAACCCUAUUUAGCCCCCCA